GAUGAAGAACGCAGCGAAAUGCGAUAAGUAAUGUGAAUUGCAGAAUUCAGUGAAUCAUCGAAUCUUUGAACGCACAUUGCGCCCGCCAGUAUUCUGGCGGGCAUGCCUGUUCGAGCGUCAUUUCAACCCUCAAGCCCCAGCGGCCUGGUGUUGGGGACCGGCGACCUCGCCCGAGCCCGCCCUCCGGGGCGCGUGCCCGGUGCGUCCGCCGCCCCCGAAAUGAAUUGGCGGCCUCGUCGCGGCCUCCUCUGCGUAGUAGCACAACCUCGCAAGCGGGAGCGCGACGCGGCCACUGCCGUAAAACGCCCAACUUUUUUAGAGAUGACCUCGGAUCAGGUAGGAAUACCCGCUGAACUUAAGCAUAUCAAUAAGCGGAGGA
RNAcentral lists this unclassified non-coding RNA (379 nucleotides) under soil metagenome. RNAcentral's name for it is "partial contains 5.8S ribosomal RNA, internal transcribed spacer 2, and large subunit ribosomal RNA". The stretch from base 1 to 120 matches the Rfam family "5.8S ribosomal RNA", at positions 35 to 154 of the family's 154-position model. The record is from RNAcentral.